AUGGGUGUUAAAAUAGUGCCACAACACUUUAACUGGAUCUGGAAUAGUUCUUGUCAACCCAGGCACAAGGUGUUCUUUUGGAGAUUAAUUCAUGACAGACUCAAUACCAGGAACCUCCUUAUAAGGAAAACUUUUCACUUGGACAAUUAUAAUUGUGCUGUAAACAAUUGCCAGCAGGAAGAAACACUUCAGCACCUCUUUUGGACAUGUCCUUUUGCUGCACAGUGUUGGGAUAUGAUCUGUCCCUCUAGGCAGAGAAAUGCAUCAGUUCUCGAGGCUUUUGCUGAUCUAAAACUGAAACUUCAUCUACCUUUCUUCAUGGAAAUCAUCAUCCUGGCUUCAUGGGCCAUCUGGAUCACCAGGAACAAUCUCAUUUUUCAGGACAUUCGGCCAAGCAUUCAAGGAUGGAAAGGAAUCUUCUUGGAAGAACUAAAUCUGCUAAGAUUCAGAAUUAAGAAGAGCUAUGCUAGAGCUUUCUGUCUCUGGCUUGACAACCUUGUCCUGUAA
Molecule: ribosomal RNA, 507 nt
Filed under: Triticum aestivum (bread wheat)
Lineage: Eukaryota; Viridiplantae; Streptophyta; Magnoliopsida; Poales; Poaceae
Description: partial small subunit ribosomal RNA
Source: RNAcentral